UACGUAGGGGGCAAGCGUUGUCCGGAUUUAUUGGGCGUAAAGAGCGUGUAGGCGGUUUGGUAGGUCCGCUGUGAAAACUCGAGGCUCAACCUCGAGACGCCGGUGGAAACCAUCAGACUAGAGUCCGGAAGAGGAGAGUGGAAUUCCUGGUGUAGCGGUGAAAUGCGCAGAUAUCAGGAAGAACACCCGUGGCUAAGGCGGUGCUCUGGGCCGGAACUGACGCUGAGGAGCGAAAGCGUGGGGAGCAAACAGG
This 253-nucleotide ribosomal RNA is filed under the name uncultured bacterium. RNAcentral's name for it is "partial 16S ribosomal RNA". It matches the Rfam family "Bacterial small subunit ribosomal RNA", at positions 524 to 776 of the family's 1533-position model. The record is from RNAcentral.